This 442-nucleotide ribosomal RNA is filed under the name uncultured bacterium. RNAcentral describes it as "bacterial SSU rRNA". It matches the Rfam family "Bacterial small subunit ribosomal RNA", at positions 32 to 454 of the family's 1533-position model. The record is from RNAcentral.
AAUCAACGCUGGCGGCGUGCCUAACACAUGCAAGUCGAACGCGAAAGCCCCUUCGGGGGUAAGUAGAGUGGCGUCCGGGUGAGUAACACGUAGGUAAUCUACCUUCGGGUGGGGAAUAACCAGUCGAAAGAUUGGCUAAUACCGCAUAAUGCAGCGGCACCUAAUGGUGAUUAGUUGUUAAAGCGGGGGAGUCGUAAGACCUCGCGCCUGAAGAGGAGCCUGCGGCAGAUUAGCUAGUUGGGAGGUAAUGGCUCACCAAGGCUUCGAUCUGUAGCUGGUCUGAGAGGACGGCCAGCCACACUGGCACUGACACACGGGCCAGACUCCUACGGGAGGCAGCAGUGGGGAAUUUUGGGCAAUGGGCGAAAGCCUGACCCAGCAACGCCGCGUGAGGGAGGAAAUCCUUCGGGAUGUAAACCUCACAAGCAAGGGAAGAGAGCUC